UACAGAGGUCUCAAGCGUUGUUCGGAUUCAUUGGGCGUAACGGGUGCGUAGGCGGCGCGGUAAGUCGGGUGUGAAAUCUCGGAGCUUAACUCCGAAACUGCAUUCGAUACUGCCGUGCUUGAGGACUGGAGAGGAGACUGGAAUUUACGGUGUAGCGGUGAAAUGCGUAGAUAUCGUAAGGAAGACCAGUGGCGAAGGCGGGUCUCUGGACAGUUCCUGACGCUGAGGCACGAAGGUCAGGGGAGCAAACGGG
RNAcentral lists this ribosomal RNA (253 nucleotides) under uncultured bacterium. Its description in RNAcentral is "partial 16S ribosomal RNA". It matches the Rfam family "Bacterial small subunit ribosomal RNA", at positions 524 to 776 of the family's 1533-position model. The record is from RNAcentral.